RNAcentral lists this long non-coding RNA (1504 nucleotides) under Sorghum bicolor (sorghum). RNAcentral's name for it is "long non-coding RNA (SBIC_LNC007325)". The record is from RNAcentral. Lineage: Eukaryota; Viridiplantae; Streptophyta; Magnoliopsida; Poales; Poaceae.
CAGACGGACGCGACGGCGUCGGGCCCCGACGCGGCGUGCGGCGGCGUCGGCAUCCUCGGCAUCGCCUGGUCCUUCGGCGGCAUGAUCUUCAUCCUCGUCUACUGCACCGCCGGCAUCUCAGGUCCGGUAGAGGCAGCAUGCAUGCAUGCAUAUAUGCCGCCGUGCUUUUACUUCAUUGAAUCGUGUGCGUGACACACACACACACACUGACACUUACGAUGCAGGUGGGCACAUCAACCCGGCCGUGACCUUCGGUUUGUUCCUGGCGAGGAAGGUGUCCCUGGUCCGCGCGCUGCUCUACAUCAUCGCGCAGUGCCUGGGCGCCAUCUGCGGCGUGGGGCUCGUCAAGGGCUUCCAGAGCGCCUACUACGUGCGCUACGGCGGCGGCGCCAACGAGCUCAGCGACGGCUACUCCAAGGGCACCGGCCUCGCCGCCGAGAUCAUCGGCACCUUCGUGCUCGUCUACACCGUCUUCUCUGCCACCGACCCCAAGCGCAAUGCCCGUGACUCCCACGUCCCGGUGAGUACACAUAUAUACACAUUCAUUUACAGUGAAUUCUGAAACUCAUAUAUGCAGUACAACACUAGUGAACUGUUACGUACUGUUAGUGGGUUGCUGAGUGCUGACUGCUAGUGGCAAUAUAUACAAAGUACUCGAUCGAUGCUAAAGACUAAUAGACUAUACUGUAGAGUUUACGCAUACUGCCAAAGGCAGAAACGGAUGUUAAACAGAGCCGUGUGUUGAGAAAGGACUUGAGCUGACGUGCAGUAAUCCUAUUGACGAGUAGAAAUUCAGACUUUAGUCCUCUUCGCUUUCCCAAAAUGAAAAAAAAAAUCAGGUUUUGGCUAGCGAGUAUAUUAGCAAACUUCAUUGUAAAAAGCCAUUAUGAGAAGAAAAGCAUAAUUUAAGUGUAUAAUAUGGACAGCCAAGUAGUCAACGAGACAUCCCUGGCUUUGGUGCUAGCUAGCCAGACUGCAGAUCGACUGCAGAUUUUAACAGUAAAAAUUAGAGCACAAAUCACUUCAGCACGCGAAACGUUUACAUCAACACAAAAACCUUUAUGUCGUAACUCGUAAGCAAGUUGGGUAGAGCGCUGUUAAAUUUAGCAUGCAACAUAAAAGCAACAUCUUAACAAAUUAACCGUCCCACUUUCUGAACGUCUAGGCAGAGUCUGAAUUUCUGCUGCUUAGUUCAUACUUCAUACUGAAUUUAAGCAAUUAAGACAUGGUAGGUCAUGUGCCCGAGAAAUCAAGUAUUUUCAUGCCACAAAUACAAUGCUACUACACAAUUAGACAUUCCAUAUAUGUAGGGAACUCAAAUACAGCACAAUGGUCCCGAAUCCGGAAUCCCAGCUGUGCAGAGCUCUCAAAAUCAGACGCAUGUGAAGAUGUAUCCUGCUGCCGGAUGCAAUGCAUGAAUUGGCAGUUUGGCACUGCAUGUCUGCAUAUACAUAUACGGAGUAUAUGCCAAUAAGCAGAUAGGAAGAUUCUCGUGUGCGUAGCC